RNAcentral lists this small RNA (29 nucleotides) under Bombyx mori (domestic silkworm). RNAcentral describes it as "ovarian small RNA-36142". The record is from RNAcentral. Lineage: Eukaryota; Metazoa; Arthropoda; Insecta; Lepidoptera; Bombycidae.
UGUUGAAAAGCUGUACACUCAGCCCCCUA